UCCUUGGUGGCUCAGAUUGUAAAGAAUCUGCCUGCAAUGCAGAAGACCUGGGUUCAAUCCCUAGAUCAGGAA
RNAcentral lists this transfer RNA (72 nucleotides) under Bos taurus (domestic cattle). It matches the Rfam family "tRNA". From Rfam's summary of the family: Transfer RNA (tRNA) molecules are approximately 80 nucleotides in length. Their secondary structure includes four short double-helical elements and three loops (D, anti-codon, and T loops). RNAcentral also lists the same sequence under 1 other name. Lineage: Eukaryota; Metazoa; Chordata; Mammalia; Artiodactyla; Bovidae. The record is from Rfam by way of RNAcentral.